Molecule: ribosomal RNA, 466 nt
Filed under: uncultured bacterium
Lineage: Bacteria
Description: partial 16S ribosomal RNA
Rfam family: Bacterial small subunit ribosomal RNA
Source: RNAcentral
GAUGAACGCUGGCGGCGUGCUUAACACAUGCAAGUCGAACGGAAAGGCCCAAGCUUGCUUGGGUACUCGAGUGGCGAACGGGUGAGUAACACGUGGGUGAUCUGCCCUGCACUUCGGGAUAAGCCUGGGAAACUGGGUCUAAUACCGGAUAGGACGACGGUUUGGAUGCUAUUGUGGAAAGUUUUUUCGGUUUGGGAGGGGCUCGCGGCUUAUCAGCUUGUGGGGGGGGUAGUGGCCUACCAAGGCGUCGUCGGGUAGCCGGCCGGGGAGGGUGUCCGGCAAAAUUGGGAGUGAGAUAGGGCCCAGACUCCGAGGGGAGGCAGCGGGGGGGAAUAUUGCACAAUGGGCGGAAGCCUGAUGCAGCAACGCCGGGGGGGGGAUGACGGCCUUCGGGUAGUAAACCGCUUUCGCCUGUGACGAAGCGUGAGUGACGGUAAUGGGUAAAGAAGCACCGGCUAACUACGUG